GGAGCUUGCUCCUUUGACGUUAGCGGCGGACGGGUGAGUAACACGUGGGCAACCUACCUUAUAGUUUGGGAUAACUCCGGGAAACCGGGGCUAAUACCGAAUAAUCUGUUUCACCUCAUGGUGAAAUAUUGAAAGACGGUUUCGGCUGUCGCUAUAGGAUGGGCCCGCGGCGCAUUAGCUAGUUGGUGAGGUAACGGCUCACCAAGGCGACGAUGCGUAGCCGACCUGAGAGGGUGAUCGGCCACACUGGGACUGAGACACGGCCCAGACUCCUACGGGAGGCAGCAGUAGGGAAUCUUCCACAAUGGGCGAAAGCCUGAUGGAGCAACGCCGCGUGAGUGAAGAAGGAUUUCGGUUCGUAAAACUCUGUUGUAAGGGAAGAACAAGUACAGUAGUAACUGGCUGUACCUUGACGGUACCUUAUUAGAAAGCCACGGCUAACUACGUGCCAGCAGCCGCGGUAAUACGUAGGUGGCAAGCGUUGUCCGGAAUUAUUGGGCGUAAAGCGCGCGCAGGUGGUUUCUUAAGUCUGAUGUGAAAGCCCACGGCUCAACCGUGGA
RNAcentral lists this ribosomal RNA (560 nucleotides) under Lysinibacillus fusiformis. RNAcentral's name for it is "bacterial SSU rRNA". It matches the Rfam family "Bacterial small subunit ribosomal RNA", at positions 75 to 619 of the family's 1533-position model. The record is from RNAcentral. Lineage: Bacteria; Bacillati; Bacillota; Bacilli; Caryophanales; Bacillaceae.